RNAcentral lists this microRNA precursor (76 nucleotides) under Schistosoma margrebowiei. RNAcentral's name for it is "mir-3492 microRNA precursor family". It matches the Rfam family "mir-3492 microRNA precursor family". Lineage: Eukaryota; Metazoa; Platyhelminthes; Trematoda; Strigeidida; Schistosomatidae. The record is from Rfam by way of RNAcentral.
AACCUUCUGUAUCCUUGCUGAGAUUUCGUCACACCAGACCACAAGGGCUGAUGAGACUUCCAAGAUAAGUGAAGCG